RNAcentral lists this ribosomal RNA (496 nucleotides) under uncultured bacterium. Its description in RNAcentral is "partial 16S ribosomal RNA". It matches the Rfam family "Bacterial small subunit ribosomal RNA", at positions 28 to 506 of the family's 1533-position model. The record is from RNAcentral.
GAUGAACGCUGGCGGCGUGCCUAAUACAUGCAAGUCGAGCGAACAGACGAGGAGCUUGCUCCUCUGACGUUAGCGGCGGACGGGUGAGUAACACGUGGAUAACCUACCUAUAAGACUGGGAUAACUUCGGGAAACCGGAGCUAAUACCGGAUAAUAUAUUGAACCGCAUGGUUCAAUAGUGAAAGACGGUUUUGCUGUCACUUAUAGAUGGAUCCGCGCCGCAUUAGUUAGUUGGUAAGGUAACGGCUUACCAAGGCGACGAUGCGUAGCCGACCUGAGAGGGGGAUCGGCCACACUGGAACUGAGACACGGUCCAAACUCCUACGGGAGGCAGCAGUAGGGAAUCUUCCGCAAGGGGCGAAAGCCUGACGGAGCAACGCCGGGUGGGGGAUGAAGGUCUUCGGAUCGUAAAACUCUGUUAUUAGGGAAGAAAAAAUGUGUAAGUAACUAUGCACGUCUUGACGGUACCUAAUCAGAAAGCCCCGGCUAACUACGG